Molecule: small nuclear RNA, 23 nt
Filed under: Arabidopsis thaliana (thale cress)
Lineage: Eukaryota; Viridiplantae; Streptophyta; Magnoliopsida; Brassicales; Brassicaceae
Description: snRNA_12966
Source: RNAcentral
UUGGAGAUAAUUCUCUUGGAUUU